This is a long non-coding RNA of Frankliniella occidentalis (western flower thrips), 367 nucleotides long. RefSeq lists it as uncharacterized. The record is from RefSeq and is a predicted model, not a curated record. Lineage: Eukaryota; Metazoa; Arthropoda; Insecta; Thysanoptera; Thripidae. The transcript is spliced from 2 exons.
AUCUGAAAUUAGUACAGUGUCCAACAAACAUUCCUUGUAGGCACUUCUAUACUUUAAGGUUUGCAACUCGUUGCUGCAACAUAAUCGCAGAUAGGAAAGCGUUCUGGUCUCCACUAUUUGCAUCAGUAGAGCCACCAUUUAUUUGUCCGCUUGAAUCGCCCACUUACAAGAUUUGCAAUGCCACCAUUGAUCUGCCGAUCUUUCAACGGUUAUUUACAACGGUGGACCCCAACUUGCUGUUGCCAGCUGUUUGGAAUGCUAAAGUACAAGCAUACGACGAACACCAAAAGGAAUUUGUGUGUCUGGAUCUGAAGUUAAGAUAUGUGCGACAAGACAUGUGAUUGUCAAAAAUGAACAAGCUGAAAUA